GCCUACGGGGGGCAGCAGUAGGGAAUCUUCCACAAUGGGCGAAAGCCUGAUGGAGCAACGCCGCGUGGGUGAAGAAGGUCUUCGGAUCGUGAAACCCUGUUGUUAGAGAAGAAAGUGCGUGAGAGUAACUGUUCACGUUUCGGCGGUAUCUAACCAGAAAGCCACGGCUAACUACGUGCCAGCAGCCGCGGUAAUACGUAGGUGGCAAGCGUUAUCCGGAUUUAUUGGGCGUAAAGGGAACGCAGGCGGUCUUUUAAGUCUGAUGUGAAAGCCUUCGGCUUAACCGGAGUAGUGCAGUGGAAACU
This 305-nucleotide ribosomal RNA is filed under the name uncultured bacterium. RNAcentral describes it as "bacterial SSU rRNA". It matches the Rfam family "Bacterial small subunit ribosomal RNA", at positions 337 to 634 of the family's 1533-position model. The record is from RNAcentral.